Molecule: ribosomal RNA, 602 nt
Filed under: Sibylla pannulata
Lineage: Eukaryota; Metazoa; Arthropoda; Insecta; Mantodea; Hymenopodidae
Description: eukaryotic LSU rRNA
Rfam family: Eukaryotic large subunit ribosomal RNA
Source: RNAcentral
GCUANGGAGUGUGUAACAACUCACCUGCCGAAGCAACUAGCCCUGAAAAUGGAUGGCGCUAAAGCUCCGUGCCUAUACCCGGCCGCCGGAAGGCAUAGGCGUGAGCCGCUCCCUCGUGGGGCGGCGAGCGCGCGAAGCCCCGGCGAGUAGGAGGGCGCGGCGGUGAGCGCGGAAGGGUCUGGGCGUGAGCCUGCCUGGAGCCGCCGCCGGUGCAGAUCUUGGUGGUAGUAGCAAAUACUCAAGCGAGGGCCUUGAGGGCUGAUGUGGAGAAGGGUUUCGUGUGAACAGCCGUUGCACACGAGUCAGUCGAUCCUAAGCCCUAGGAGAAAUCCGAUGUCGAUGCGGGGGGCAGUUUCUUACGUGCUCCCCCUCGAUGGGCGAAAGGGAAUCCGGUUCCUAUUCCGGAACCCGGCAGCGGAACCGAAUCUACGGGCCCUCGUCAGAGAAGCUCGUCGGGGUAACCCAAAGGGACCCGGAGACGCCGUCGGGAGACCCGGGCAGAGUUUUCUGUUCUGCAUAAGCGUUCGAGUUCCCUGGAAUCCUCUAGCAGGGAGAUAGGGUUUGGAACGCGAAGAGCACCGCAGUUGCGGCGGUGUCCGGGU